GAUGCUUUGUGACGACAACCGACGAAAGGAAACUGAGUAUGGAAAUGAAAAAGACUUCGACAAUCGUGUAUUUUUGUCUCUGUGAAAUUGAGAAUUAAUACAGAGCAAAGAUGACAUGUUAUAAAGAACUUAGUACUACCAAUACAUGUACUGAUGGAGAUCUAGGUACAAUAUUAUCAAUGAAAGAUGAGGCAGUUGCUGCAUGGUGAUCCCGCUGUAAAUCCUGUGCCUGUGGCUUCCUCCAUUCAGCCAUCAUCAUCAGCAACACCUUUCCCAUAGAAGAAGAAGACUAAAGUUGCCAGCAUAUCAAAGGAUCUAAGCUGGGUGACAUCAUUUAAAGAGGACUUGCAUCAAAUGCAUGCCGAGAGGAUGGAGGAUGAGAAAAAGCUGUUGGCUUUAGAAGAAAGGAGAGUUGUUGCACUUGAGAAACUGGCUGAUUUUGUUCACAAAUAAACUUUGAAUACUGAUCACAUAUAUGCCAUACAUUGAAGUGAACAUGAUAAGACAUAUAUACAGUGUAUAGGAAUCUGCCCCUUCAGAAUAUAAAUCCUCUUUCUGAAACUAAA
This is a long non-coding RNA of Ostrea edulis (European flat oyster), 566 nucleotides long. RefSeq lists it as uncharacterized. NCBI's taxonomy places the organism in Eukaryota, Metazoa, Mollusca, Bivalvia, Ostreida, Ostreidae. The transcript has 3 exons. The record is from RefSeq and is a predicted model, not a curated record.